RNAcentral lists this unclassified non-coding RNA (1195 nucleotides) under Hevea brasiliensis (rubber tree). Lineage: Eukaryota; Viridiplantae; Streptophyta; Magnoliopsida; Malpighiales; Euphorbiaceae. The record is from RNAcentral.
UGUCCAUAAACCAGUUCUCUGCAGACGUUCCAGAAACUCUCUGGUGGGCUCAACAACACCACCACCACCGACAGUCCAUCAUGGAACCAAACCCAAACGCUCCUUCCUCUAAACCACACAAGCUCCCUAUCUCAAACCCCAAUUCUUCUUGGCCUUCCCACCUCUACCCUCACUAUCACCACCUCCAUCCCAUGUUCUCUCCCCAUAACCCCAGUCUCAGUUUCAAUCUCAACCACGGGGACGAUGAAGAACAAGACCCUGAAGAAGAGCCACCCCUCAAGCAACAAGAACAACAAGUUCACCAAGAACUGGAAAAAGAACCCAUGUUCGAGAAACCCUUAACACCAAGUGAUGUUGGGAAGCUAAACCGUUUAGUAAUACCAAAACAGUAUGCGGAGAAAUAUUUCCCUCUGGGCGGUGACUCGGUUGAUAAAGUUCUUUUACUGAGUUUCGAGGACGAAUUAGGCAAGUUCUGGAGGUUCAGGUAUUCUUAUUGGAGCAGUAGCCAGAGCUAUGUAUUAACAAAAGGGUGGAGCAGGUAUGUGAAGGAGAAGCAACUCGAUGCAGGCGACAUCGUUUUAUUCGAACGACACCGUAUGGAUAGUGAGAGGCUGUUUAUAGGGUGGAGGAGAAGAGGAGAUAACAGCAGCAGUGGGGUGGUGGUGCAGGGUAGCAGUGGUGGGGUGUGGACUAGGGGAUUGUAUUCUUCUUCAUCUGGGCACCAACCUUAUCAACAUGGCCAUGGGGCUAACCUUACUGCUUGUGUCCCACAUCAACCUGAGGGUCUCCAUGCAGGGUCUGGUGUGCAGAACCAGAUAAUACCAUUGGGGAACUCAAAGAGGCUGAGGCUAUUUGGAGUAAACUUGGAGUGCCAAAUCGAUGAAUCAGAGCCAUCUACAGCAGAUGGUUCGUCUUUAUCAAGCCAGGGUCCAACCCAACAGCAACUCUACAGCUUUUACUCAUCAGCUUAUUAAAGCUUAUUCUUCUUCUUCUUCAAAUAGCAGUCGUAGUCACAUGGUAAGCUACAUGUAGUUUUAAUAUAAUAUAAAUUUAGCUUAAAAGGGAAGUUAUAACUUCUAAGCUUAUUCUCUACUGUAUAGUUUUGAUUUAGCUGUUUCUUAUAGAGAGACAGAUUACUAUAUAAUAAUAGUAAAGAGAUUAGUUGAUUAAUGAGGCCAAAGGUAGGCCAACCCAG